Non-coding RNA from Poecilia reticulata (guppy), 179 nucleotides. The record is from RefSeq and is a predicted model, not a curated record. Lineage: Eukaryota; Metazoa; Chordata; Actinopteri; Cyprinodontiformes; Poeciliidae.
AGAUCAAAAGCUGAAGAUUCAGAGGAGCAGAUCCAGAUGUCCAGUUUGAACAACAGAGAUGGCAGGAUGUGAUGAUCCUGCAGCGCUGCUACCUGCUGCUGUAACUCUGGAAGCCGAGUUUGUCUCUGUGAAUGAAGUGUAAUGGUUACUGAUUGGUAGUUUGGCCACUUGAUGGCGCU